RNAcentral lists this ribosomal RNA (299 nucleotides) under uncultured bacterium. RNAcentral's name for it is "partial 16S ribosomal RNA". It matches the Rfam family "Bacterial small subunit ribosomal RNA", at positions 141 to 433 of the family's 1533-position model. The record is from RNAcentral.
GGAUAACUACCGGAAACGGUAGCUAAUACCGGAUAAUUUAUUUCACAGCAUUGUGGAAUAAUGAAAGACGGAGCAAUCUGUCACUUGGGGAUGGGCCUGCGGCGCAUUAGCUAGUUGGUGGGGUAAUGGCUCACCAAGGCGACGAUGCGUAGCCGACCUGAGAGGGUGAACGGCCACACUGGGACUGAGACACGGCCCAGACUCCUACGGGAGGCAGCAGUAGGGAAUCUUCCGCAAUGGGCGAAAGCCUGACGGAGCAACGCCGCGUGAGUGAUGAAGGUUUUCGGAUCGUAAAGCUC